UGGCGGACGGGUGAGUAACGCGUAGGAAUCUAUCUUUGGGUGGGGGACAACCGUGGGAAACUACGGCUAAUACCGCAUGAGGCCUGAGGGCCAAAGCUUGUGAGAGCGCCUGAGGAGGAGCCUGCGUCCGAUUAGCUAGUUGGUGGGGUAAAGGCCUACCAAGGCUGCGAUCGGUAGCUGGUCUGAGAGGACGAUCAGCCACACUGGGACUGAGACACGGCCCAG
RNAcentral lists this ribosomal RNA (225 nucleotides) under uncultured bacterium. Its description in RNAcentral is "partial 16S ribosomal RNA". It matches the Rfam family "Bacterial small subunit ribosomal RNA", at positions 96 to 334 of the family's 1533-position model. The record is from RNAcentral.